UGGGGAAUAUUGGACAAUGGGGGCAACCCUGAUCCAGCAAUGCCGCGUGUGUGAAGAAGGCCUGCGGGUUGUAAAGCACUUUUCUGCGAGAAGAACACGGGUGCGGUGAAUAGCCGCAUCAACUGACGGUAUCACAGGAAUAAGCACCGGCUAACUCCGUGCCAGCAGCCGCGGUAAUACGGAGGGUGCGAGCGUUAAUCGGAAUUACUGGGCGUAAAGCGUGCGUAGGUGGUUUGUCAAGUCGGAUGUGAAAGCCCCGGGCUCAACCUGGGAGGGUCAUUCGAAACUGGCGGACUGGAGUCUGGAAGAGGUUGGCGGAAUUCCCGGUGUAGCGGUGAAAUGCGUAGAGAUCGGGAGGAACAUCAGUGGCGAAGGCGGCUGACUGGUCCAAGACUGACACUGAGGCACGAAAGCGUGGGGAGCAAACAGGAUUAGAUACCCCCGUAGUCC
This 450-nucleotide ribosomal RNA is filed under the name uncultured prokaryote. Its description in RNAcentral is "bacterial SSU rRNA". It matches the Rfam family "Bacterial small subunit ribosomal RNA", at positions 355 to 796 of the family's 1533-position model. The record is from RNAcentral.